AGGCGUCCUCGCGUCUUUCUCCUCCUUGGGGGCAUCGUCUCGGAGCCGCCCACGACUAGGAGACUUGUGGAGUGUGGCAUCUUCGCCGUGGGUGGCAGUGUCUUCGCCGCAUAGUUUGCUGAGGUGGGGCACUAGUUUCUGUUUGGCAACGAUGAUGGCGUUGACAGAGGCUCGGUUCGUGGCAUAUGUACUUUGGUAGUCGGUUCUUUCCGGCAUGUCCAAGAUGGUCUUCCAUGAGUUGCUUGGUUGCUUUGAAGUCGGAGCUACUCUGGAGCGAGUCCAGACGGUGAUGAUGACGGGCGCUUGAUGGUCGUUUGUGAAGGGCACGGUCGGCGCAAGUCGUGCAUAUUUCCCUUUGUGAUACUCGUCGUCAAGGUCGGAACUGUCAGCUGCUCGCGCGUGUGGUCAUCCGAUGGCAUGUGCCAUCGUGGUUUCUUUGUAGCUGUUUGCGGGAUGGCUUUGAUGUUGGAGCUCGAUGGUGAAGUCGGGCUCGUUCAAGGCAACCAGUGAUGAUGAUGAUGUUUGCGACUUCACGACGGGUGUCUUUCUUCUUUGCAGCUUCGGGUCCCAUGUAGGUGGCCAGGUUGAUCGGUGGUGCCCGUGUCAUAUGGGUUGUGUAUUGUAUCGGUUUUAGCCCGGUUUUACGCCAAUUAACCGGGCAAUUUUCUUCUUUUUAA
RNAcentral lists this long non-coding RNA (677 nucleotides) under Hordeum vulgare. Its description in RNAcentral is "long non-coding RNA (HVUL_LNC017160)". The record is from RNAcentral. Lineage: Eukaryota; Viridiplantae; Streptophyta; Magnoliopsida; Poales; Poaceae.